This is a non-coding RNA of Trichobilharzia regenti, 48 nucleotides long. The record is from Rfam. Lineage: Eukaryota; Metazoa; Platyhelminthes; Trematoda; Strigeidida; Schistosomatidae.
AUCCAGCUGACGAGUCCCAAAUAGGACGAAAUGCGCAUCUUACUGGAU